GCGUGGGUGAAGAAGGCCUGCGGGUUGUAAAGCCUUUCGGUGGGGAAGAAAAGCCUCGAGUUAACACCUCGGGGUCUUGACGUAACCCAUAGAAGAAGCACCGGCUAACUCUGUGCCAGCAGCCGCGGUAAUACAGAGGGUGCGAGCGUUAAUCGGAAUUACUGGGCGUAAAGCGCGCGUAGGCGGCUUUGCAAGUCGGGUGUGAAAUCCCCAGGCUUAACCUGGGAACUGCAUUCGAGACUGCAUUGCUAGAGUAUGGGAGAGGGAAGUGGAAUUCCCGGUGUAGCGGUUGAAAUGCGUAGAUAUCGGAAGGAACAUCAGUGGCGAAAGCGACUUCCUGGACCAAUACUGACGCUCAUGUGCGAAAGCGUGGGGAGCAAACAGGAUUAGAUACCCUGGUAGUCCACGCCAUAAACGAUGAGAACUGGAUGUCGGGAGGGUCUGCCUCUCGGUGUCGUAGCUAACGCGUUAAGUUCUCCGCCUGGGGAGUACGGCCGCAAGGUUG
RNAcentral lists this ribosomal RNA (505 nucleotides) under uncultured Pseudomonadota bacterium. RNAcentral describes it as "bacterial SSU rRNA". It matches the Rfam family "Bacterial small subunit ribosomal RNA", at positions 399 to 896 of the family's 1533-position model. Lineage: Bacteria; Pseudomonadati; Pseudomonadota. The record is from RNAcentral.